This 497-nucleotide ribosomal RNA is filed under the name uncultured bacterium. Its description in RNAcentral is "partial 16S ribosomal RNA". It matches the Rfam family "Bacterial small subunit ribosomal RNA", at positions 28 to 507 of the family's 1533-position model. The record is from RNAcentral.
GAUGAACGCUGGCGGCGUGCCUAAUACAUGCAAGUCGAGCGAACAGAUAAGGAGCUUGCUCCUUUGACGUUAGCGGCGGACGGGUGAGUAACACGUGAGUAACCUACCUAUAAGACUGGGAUAACUUCGGGAAACCGGAGCUAAUACCGGAUAAUAUUUCGAACCGCAUGGUUCGAUAGUGAAAGAUGGUUUUGCUAUCACUUAUAGAUGGACCCGCGCCGUAUUAGCUAGUUGGUAAGGUAACGGCUUACCAAGGCGACGAUACGUAGCCGACCUGAGAGGGUGAUCGGCCACACUGGAACUGAGACACGGUCCAGACCCCUACGGGAGGCAGCAGUAGGGAAUCUUCCGCAAUGGGCGAAAGCCUGACGGAGCAACGCCGCGUGAGUGAUGAAGGUCUUCGGAUCGUAAAACUCUGUUAUUAGGGAAGAACAUACGUGUAAGUAACUGUGCACGUCUUGACGGUACCUAAUCAGAAAGCCACGGCUAACUACGUG